This 1615-nucleotide long non-coding RNA is filed under the name Oryctolagus cuniculus (rabbit). RNAcentral's name for it is "lncRNA (ENSOCUG00000029979.1)". The record is from RNAcentral. Lineage: Eukaryota; Metazoa; Chordata; Mammalia; Lagomorpha; Leporidae.
CAUCCUGUCCACUGUCCUUUUCCUCUACACCAGCUUCACCCUCAUCCUGGUCUUCCCUCUCUACUGCAGCCUCUUUCUGAUCCUCUGCUCCAGCCUCACCCUCCUUUUCUUUCUCUUUAUCAGCCACCUCCUCUUUCUGUUCAACUCCAGCCUCAAGUUCCUUCUGUCCCUGCACCCUAGCCUGUCCUUCCUUCCGGUGUGUCAUUCCAGCCUCACCCUCCUCCUUAUCCUCCAUCUCAGCCUCAUGCUGCUCCUGCUUCUCACCCUCUUGGCCAUCCUCACCUUUGCUCUGUACCUCAAUGCUUGCCUCACCUGUCUUCUGCUUGCCCAUCCCAGCCUGACCUUGCUUCUAGUCCUUUCUUCCCUCCUCACUGUUCUUCUCGCCCUUCUCCCUAGCCUCACCCUCCUCCUCCUCUAGCUCCCUCUUCCCCCACCUCCUUCCUCUCAUUUAUACAUAGCAACUUUAACCUUCUGUGACUACAUCCUGUCUGCCCACUUGCUUCCCACACCAGCCUGAUCUUCCACACUGUCCUUACCUUCGUAUGAUCUCUCACCUCAGUCUUGCCAUGCCUCAGGCCCAUCAAAUUAUAAUCCUCUAAUCUACCCUCAUCCAAGUUCUCCUUAUUUUGUCACCCUUUUCCUUCCCUGACAAAUGACACUCCUUCCCAGUACCUGACCUCAUUUACUCCAUGCCCAGCUCUUCAAGACUCUGUUCCUAUAAUACCUAACCUGCUAAUUGCCCUGUGUUAUCCUACUUGUUAGGCCUCUAUGUUAUCCCCUACUCCUCCUAACAAAUGUACUUACUAGUCUUCUCUACCCCAACAGACCCCCACCCACUUGUGAUCCAGUCACCCUAUCCAUACCUACUGCAUCACAAAUAUAAUCCUGGAAGGAAGUUUGCUUCCCACUGCAAUGGUUUUGGUGAAGCUCACAGUUGUGAAGACUGGACUCCCAGAAACUGGAUGGCAGCUAGAUCCUCUACCACCUGAUCAAUGUGCUUCCAUUAGCCUUUACCUUACAACAUGGCUAGAGCAGAUCAAAUUGCAGGACCGCAAUGGAGAGAAGAAUGAGGGAGAUUCACCCCCUCUGUUCCCCAGGAGGCAGAUUGGCCUACAUGAGGUCUUGUCAGCAGGUAACUACUUCCUGCUUCUGCCACAAAACCCCAAGCCCUGUUCUGGUGGUAUCCAGAAGUGGCCCAGUGGCAGAGUCAAAUCUGAGGUGCUGGGUCAAGUGAGUUCAGAGCUGUAAUGGGACAGAGAAUGGAAUAGGACACUCAGUCACAAAGUAAGGUCAUGACAGGAGGUAUUUUCAGUAAAACAGUGCACAAAAUAUAUGCCACUAGGGACUACAGAAGACAGAAUGUUUUUUUUUUUAAUGCCUAUUUGUUUACAUUUCCUUGAAACACCAACCAACAAUGAGGUAGACAAAGAGACAGAGAGAGUUCCAGCUGCCAGUUUUCUCCCCCAAAGUACAACAACUACAGCCAAGCCUGGCUGAAGCCAGUAGCCUGGAACAAUGUAGAGUAUGCAGGUGGUCCAUUUGCUCUAUUCUUUCUAGCUGAGUAUACUAAUAUUAUUAUAAUAAAUGCUCUCAGAGACAUCCUAUUUUUAGGCUC